Non-coding RNA from Caenorhabditis elegans, 267 nucleotides. NCBI's taxonomy places the organism in Eukaryota, Metazoa, Nematoda, Chromadorea, Rhabditida, Rhabditidae. The record is from Ensembl.
AUUGCAAAGAACGCGGCGCCUUCCGUGCGCGCUGCUGCCAAAAUGUGCAAAAGAAGUGCUUGACAAAGAACAAAUAAGCAUUGCCGUAUGCCGUAUGCCGCGUGAGGGUAAAGGCGCGACGUGUGUGUAUAUACCAUAAGUAAUAUAAACUUGCUGCUCACUUCAACGAGUACUUGCUCACCGAUUAGUGGCGGAUCAUGAAGGGCGCGGAAGUCGGCGGCAGGUCUCACAUGUUGGCAAUGUGCCAAUCACGUUGAGCUUUUGAAA